This is a long non-coding RNA of Cavia porcellus (domestic guinea pig), 1350 nucleotides long. RefSeq lists it as uncharacterized. Lineage: Eukaryota; Metazoa; Chordata; Mammalia; Rodentia; Caviidae. The transcript is spliced from 6 exons. The record is from RefSeq and is a predicted model, not a curated record.
CAGGCUGUCUUCGCACUUAUGAUUGUCCUGUCCCAAACUCUACAGUGUCUGGGAUUCCAGGCAUACAUCACUGCUUGAAGAUCACUCUGCUCCUGCACUUCCUUCUGCUGAUGACACUGUGUCAUGUGAUGGGGUCCCUUCCCCAGGAGCUGCUCUCACUGGUGGCAUCACCUCAGAUGGCGCUCAAGAUCCAGGAGGCCCAGUGUCUGCAGCAACAGUGACACCAGCUUCUGUCCCACUUGUGGCAGCAUGCAGAGGUCUGGUGUCAGCUGACCUCUCAGAAAGAAACACAGCUCAAGUUCUGUUUCAUACAACAGCUCAUGGUGCAGCUGCUGUGUGAGGAGAAUCAGGCAAGAGGAGACCCAGCAUCUGGAAGCCACCAAGCAGCAGAAGCAGCAGUCAUUCCCGCUGAGCCUCCUCGUUCUGCGUUGGCAAGGACACAUCAGCGUCAGGGUGGAGAGUGUCUGGUACUUCUCUUGUGGGGUUGACCAGAGAUCAUUCCGGCAGCUCCCAAUAGAAGAUGAAGGGGACAAAGAGGACAGGCAUGUUCAACAUGGACCAGUGUGACCAUUCCUGGGACAGACUAGAUGCCAGGGGGAUGACUACAGAGUCCAGGAUGAAAGCUGGUGUCCUAGAGGGGCUUAAGGAGACCCUGAAUGGACUCCAUAAAUUCCAUCACAAGGAUUGGCGACAAAUCAAGAACAGAGAGAUUUGAGAGACAAUUCUCCUUCACCCAAGAUGUUUGUGAACAUCUGCAUAUUUCCAAUCACAUGUCAACAUCUCCCUUUCUAUAAAGCUUUUGAACCUCCCUAUAAGCAAUAUUGUUCUGUCAGGUAAUUUGCAGCUACAAACCUAGGUAGCGGCAUUAAAAAAUGUUAGCUUGCAUAGUUUGAUUUUACAUUGAAGAAAUGUAGAUCAUUGGAUCAUUCAAGGCUCGCCAGGGCUUGACCUCACUUGGGAUUUUUUUGUUGUUCUUCUUCUUUUUUUAGUACUUUCCUUUUUAUGACAAGAUAAUGUUUGUGUGCAUACCGUAGUCCAAAUGCCAGAAAACUAUACCCAGGGUCAAAGUCUCCCUGAUUCCCAUUUUCUCAGGCCCAUAGUUGUUGCUUUUACUUUCAUAUUUUACUAUUAUUAGCUCUCAAUAGUUUUCCUAUAGUUUUACAUUCAAUUUAUCAAUGUGAACAACUGUUUUGCUGACUUUCAUAAAAGUUUUAUUUCUCAUCGCACAUUAUCCUUUUCCUCUUCCCACUUUGUGAAAUGUGCUCUGUGUUAAUUUAAAUUUAGCAAUAUUCAUAAAAGCAUAGGGGAGACUGAUUAGACAACAGUAUGGGACUAUGGAAGAGAAGAAAA